This 1061-nucleotide long non-coding RNA is filed under the name Carassius auratus (goldfish). RNAcentral's name for it is "lncRNA (ENSCARG00000018249.1)". Lineage: Eukaryota; Metazoa; Chordata; Actinopteri; Cypriniformes; Cyprinidae. The record is from RNAcentral.
GCCCUAUAUUCUUUUGUUGCAAUAAUUUUAACCCUUUCGCACGUACAAUCAAACUGGUGUGAUCAUUCUAGGCUGGUCCCUGGAGUGGACGACCACACCGGUCAGUGCAUGACGUGAAAUUCAAAUGUGCUCUCUCACAUUGGCUGGCGCUGAGCCAGAGACAGGUGCACUCAGAGCUGUCAUCACAACUUUUCAGUGUUUUCAACAACAUAAUGUUUAUUUUAGGUUUCAGACAUAUAGACGGUGGGCCGAGGGUCCGUAUCUGCUUUACUUUUCGAAAUGAAUGAUCCCCAUGGAGGGAGAACCUGGAUUUGUAAAGUUGGGACGGUUGUUUUAUUCUCAACGAUAUGAAAAGUGUUGCCACUCCCAUUUAUUGCACAUUUUCCCCGAAAUCAUAAUGCACGAUCCAUAAAUAUGCAGGCAAACGCGGUUGCCUACUAUAUUAGUUGAGCCAAUAGCGCGGCAAGAUACUGACAUGGGAUUAUUACUAUCCAAUCAGAUGUAGUUUAUUUAGAACAGCUGUUACACGAAUGAUUCCGCUAUCAGACACAAGCACCAGCGGUGCACUGAUCGUCAAGGACAUUCUUUGUGUGAUUUGCACAAGUUCCAGUAUGGCCUCUGGAGCUGGCGGAAGAGUCAUCCAGUCUACUCCGUAGGAAAUCUCCUACCAUCUUCCAGCCAUGAUUUACAGGCGGAGGAAUGUCUGGCAUGCACUCAAGACACCUCCUGUGUACUGCAGCCUGAUAGCUUGCCCGCUGGAUGUGUUUAUGCAAGGAGUCUUUGUUUGGAGAGCGCUCACUGUGUCACAUCCAGAAAAGGCAUGCAGACCUACAAGGGCAUCACAUUUGUCUUCGCCAAGAUGGGCAUGUAGCUUGGUAAUGUCAGUAAUGUGUGUGUCUCUCCCCUUGGCUGUAUGGAAAUGGAGGUGGCCAUCAAUGUGGCUGCAGAAAGCUAGAGCCAGCACAAAGACAUUGGUGUCUGGGCUCUUGAUUACCAGGUCAUGGCUGUGUUUGGCUGCAUGGGCUGCACGCAGAAUCAUUCUGGUGUCUGCCUCCUCUUGA